Molecule: long non-coding RNA, 1615 nt
Organism: Lagopus leucura (white-tailed ptarmigan)
Lineage: Eukaryota; Metazoa; Chordata; Aves; Galliformes; Phasianidae
Exons: 4
Source: RefSeq, a predicted model, not a curated record
GCAAAGCUGUUUCUGUUGGGGGAGUGGUGCGCGCAGGCUGGGCGCGUGCUGCCCCUCAACUAACCUGGCACUCGGCAUCCAUCACUGCGUGCAAAACUAAACCGUACCGCAACCUCGGAUCUCUGCUAUUUUAUUACACGAGGUUUCACCAGGACGCUCCGUGUGCUUAAGUGACGCCCGAUCUCAGCUCCAUUACGUUCACAGAUCACCCCACAAAAGCCGCUGCGCUUAACAACCCCCUCAGCAGCAAACCCCUCCCUCUGCAGCGCGUGGCCGCUCCGCCUGGGCAGGCAGAGGCGCGCGGAGCCACGUGCGGCAGCGAAGGUGCGCAUGCUCACAAGGCGGGGCUGACGAGAAGGGAGAGAGCGGGAAUAAAGGCACGUGCUGCGGAGGGGUGCUUAUUAGUUCUCGUAAAGGAGGAGUGCGGAUGGCUGUUUAGUUUGUUCGGUGCUGCUGCGCUGCAGAGCGGCGGUUGUGGUCACGAGCGCGCGGUGGUGCGCGCCUGAGGAGGUCUUGGUGAAGGCGAAGUGCUGUGUCUGCGCCUUCUGAGCUCGUUUCUGAGUUAUUCCAUGCUUCACAACGUGCGUGCAGGCUUAAUUGUAAUGAAGGAAUGAGAGAAAAAAUAUUUGGAGGAAAAAUUUCAUGGUCUACUUCAUAAAACCACGACAGGAAUGUUUAACAUCAUUCUAAGUUUCUUAAAUCUCUGUUUGAACAUCUUCAUACCAUUUUGUCCUUCUUUGCGUGUUCCCCACUUGAUGGCAGUGCAACAACACGUAUGGAAAUAGAGAGGACUGAAAAGCUUGGUUUUAAAGCUUACACCUCAGAUGUUUCCCAAGAAAUCUCCUGGGCAAGUCAUGCUGAAGAGGACUGUUUCCUGGAUUUUGGUGUAUCUGGAUAUACUGUUGCACCUUGAAACUCCCUGCAGAUCCUUGCCCGUGGAGGGAUGUGAUGACAAUUUGAGAAUAGCAGAAUGACAGUAAGCAUUACUCUGUUUUGCAGUUAUCAUUUUCAAAAACCUGGUCCUAGAAAACCAGUUUGAUUCACUGUAGUCAUAUGGUAGUUUUUUUAUUAAAGUUUACUUAUUUUCCAUAUAGACAGAAAGGAGAUAUAUAUGAGACUGUGCAAUAGCUGUAUGUAAUAACCAUAUGCUAUCUUGUGGUAUGAGGGAUUUGUUAUCAACUUGAUAAAUUUGGAUUUCAGCUUUUGUUUCUCAAGCCAUCUAGAAUAGACUUUAUAUAAACUUCUGUAUGACGUUUCUGCAAAAAUAUGGAUUUGUCAGUUAUUGAUUGCUGAAUUAUCUGGACCAAGAACAGCGCUACUAGUAUGCCUAUUAGGUGCAAUUGUAUUGGUCCCAUAGUCAGACACAAUUGAAUAAGUAUCCCACUUUUUACACUCUUUAUGAUGCUUAGAGUGCCAGUACUGAGCUAAGACCUGAUACAGUGACAGUUCAGAUUUAGUAAAGUUACUACUGUAGGCACUUAUGAGGAGAGUAGCAAAGAUUUGCUGUAGUUGUAUCAUUGAUUUUAUUUCUGCCAUUUAUUUUGACAUCUAUUUUUAUGACAGUUUCAUUUGUAUUUGUAUAUUUAUAAACCUGAUAAACAUUCACGUAAUAUGA